UGAGCAAUCUGCCCUUCUCAUCGGAAUAAGCGUUGGAAACGACGUCUAAUGCCGAAUACGACCUCCUUUCGCAUGAUCGGAGGUGGAAAGCUCCGGCGGAGAAGGAUGAGCUCGCGGCCUAUCAGCUUGUUGGUGAGGUAAUGGCUUACCAAGGCGACGACGGGUAGCCGGCCUGAGAGGGUGACCGGCCACACUGGGACUGAGACACGGCCCAGACCUCCUACGGGAGCAG
This 232-nucleotide ribosomal RNA is filed under the name uncultured bacterium. Its description in RNAcentral is "partial 16S ribosomal RNA". It matches the Rfam family "Bacterial small subunit ribosomal RNA", at positions 118 to 347 of the family's 1533-position model. The record is from RNAcentral.